GCUCCAAAGGUCAGUGGUAGACCAGCCUCUCUUAUGCUUGAGUUGCAGAGUGAUCUGAGGUGACGCGGGUUCAACUCCUGCUUGGGGCA
Molecule: non-coding RNA, 89 nt
Organism: Mycena olivaceomarginata
Lineage: Eukaryota; Fungi; Basidiomycota; Agaricomycetes; Agaricales; Mycenaceae
Source: the annotation of a GenBank genome assembly